This 363-nucleotide ribosomal RNA is filed under the name Klebsiella pneumoniae. Its description in RNAcentral is "bacterial SSU rRNA". It matches the Rfam family "Bacterial small subunit ribosomal RNA", at positions 142 to 500 of the family's 1533-position model. The record is from RNAcentral. Lineage: Bacteria; Pseudomonadati; Pseudomonadota; Gammaproteobacteria; Enterobacterales; Enterobacteriaceae.
GAUAACUACUGGAAACGGUAGCUAAUACCGCAUAACGUCGCAAGACCAAAGUGGGGGACCUUCGGGCCUCAUGCCAUCAGAUGUGCCCAGAUGGGAUUAGCUAGUAGGUGGGGUAACGGCUCACCUAGGCGACGAUCCCUAGCUGGUCUGAGAGGAUGACCAGCCACACUGGAACUGAGACACGGUCCAGACUCCUACGGGAGGCAGCAGUGGGGAAUAUUGCACAAUGGGCGCAAGCCUGAUGCAGCCAUGCCGCGUGUGUGAAGAAGGCCUUCGGGUUGUAAAGCACUUUCAGCGGGGAGGAAGGCGUUAAGGUUAAUAACCUUGUCGAUUGACGUUACCCGCAGAAGAAGCACCGGCUAA